AGCGCGGAAGACUGCGUUAAAACGAUGGACUGAACAGUCAACCAGUCCAGCAGAACGAGCCUUAGGUGCAAUAAGUAGAGUAUUUUCUUCUAGGAAGAAAAGGAUAACCGGAUUCGAAAUAAAUGAUAAAACUACGAUAAGGUAAAUUUAUGUAGUAAAACAACCGGUAUUUGUGUUAUGGCGAAGAACCCGGCAAGAGUGUAACUAUGGACUUGGAGCAAGACAAAAGAGACUUAACAAAUGUAAGUGGUUUCUCAGUUUUACGUAAACAAAAGCUGAUGGCCAAAAUCGACAAAUUUUUGCGGCCUCAGGGUUAAAAAAAGAAAGAUGUGAUUAUGGUUGCCUGAAGCGGAUAAAAAGAUUAAUCCAACUUGCAGAAAAAGGAUGACCAAAUUUAAUGAAACUAGAUUUUGGUGUGACCAAAAAAAAAAAAAAAAAAAGAACUUCCCAGAUAUCUAAAUAUAUAAUUAUAUCUAUAUAAGGGUAUAUGAGCAACACUAUAAACGGUGUAAGUGUUCAAUUUUGUAAGAAAUAAUCGACGAUAGAUAGGGGAUAAGAACCAACACGGUAAAUGACAAUCAAGGAUCAAACGAGAGCAAUUAGGAUAUUAAAUAGUGCUAAACCAAAACGAACAAAAAGGAGAAUUGAUUGCAGAGAAAGCGUUUAGAAGAGCGUUAAAACGGAUGUUCAAGGAAGAGAAACUAUCAACAGUGGUGGGCGAGCGGGUUGCAAUGGUUUUACCAACUUUUACUAUUUAGUGAUGGUGAGGGAGAUUGAAUUGCCUGUUGUAGUUGCUGAAUGCUUUUGUUUGAUGUUGAGAGAAUAUGUUUGGAAAAGAGAUAAUCAUAUAUUCAGUUCAGCAAUACCA
Non-coding RNA from Schizosaccharomyces pombe (fission yeast), 868 nucleotides. Lineage: Eukaryota; Fungi; Ascomycota; Schizosaccharomycetes; Schizosaccharomycetales; Schizosaccharomycetaceae. The record is from the annotation of a GenBank genome assembly.